GACGAACGCUGGCGGCGCGCUUAACACAUGCAAGUCGAGCGAGAACCAGCCCUUCGGGGCUGGGGACAGCGGCGAACGGGUGAGUAACACGUGGGUAAUCUGCCCUCGGCACCGGGAUAGCCCGGGGAAACCCGGAUUAAUACCGGAUGGCCUUUCGAGCCCUCGGGCUUGAGAGAAAAGGUAAGCUUUGGCCUCUGGCCGAGGAUGAGCCCGCGGCCGAUUAGCUUGUUGGUGAGGUAAUGGCCCACCAAGGCGACGAUCGGUAGCUGGUCUGAGAGGACGAUCAGCCACACUGGGACUGAGACACGGCCCAGACUCCUACGGGAGGCAGCAGUGGGGAAUCUUGCGCAAUGGGCGAAAGCCUGACGCAGCGACGCCGCGUGAGGGAUGACGG
Molecule: ribosomal RNA, 394 nt
Filed under: uncultured bacterium
Lineage: Bacteria
Description: bacterial SSU rRNA
Rfam family: Bacterial small subunit ribosomal RNA
Source: RNAcentral